This is a long non-coding RNA of Juglans microcarpa x Juglans regia, 540 nucleotides long. RefSeq lists it as uncharacterized. The transcript has 2 exons. NCBI's taxonomy places the organism in Eukaryota, Viridiplantae, Streptophyta, Magnoliopsida, Fagales, Juglandaceae. The record is from RefSeq and is a predicted model, not a curated record.
GUUCCAUCCAGCUAUGUUCCACCCAAUUGUCGGCGUCCUCUGUGGUAAGUGGUUACAUUUCCUCCAUUUUCAUGAAAGCCCAUGUGUUAGAAGAAACAUUCACUUCAAAUUUUUAGAUUACAAAAUUUGCCCCUUUCAUCUAUAUUUUUUCACGGCUGAAGCUUGAGCUUCACAACUCUUCCAUCUGCCCCCAAAAAACCAAGUCUCCACAAUGAUAGUUGCAGACAAAUAGUGAUUCCAGGCAUUUAUGUCGUAAAAUUGAUAAGAUUGUGAAAUUGUGAAAAUAGAUACGCCAUCAGUCAUAGGGAGAGUGUAAUCAGUUCCAAAAAUUACAUAUUCGCAUAACAAUUCUUUAGAUUUUUUUCCCUUCCAGACUCUUGUUGACUUGCUUUCUAAAAUUAUUUUGGAUCUAUAGAUUUUUGUGACUUGUUAGAACCCAAGUAUUAGCUGAUUUGCUUGUCCUUAGGAAGACACUCAAAACAUAUACUCAUUACCUAUUAUAGUUCCGGAAAGCAGGGCAAUGAUGAUGAAAUCCCUUUA